RNAcentral lists this ribosomal RNA (253 nucleotides) under uncultured bacterium. RNAcentral describes it as "partial 16S ribosomal RNA". It matches the Rfam family "Bacterial small subunit ribosomal RNA", at positions 524 to 776 of the family's 1533-position model. The record is from RNAcentral.
UACGUAGGGAGCAAGCGUUGUCCGGAAUUACUGGGCGUAAAGGGCGCGUAGGCGGCCUUGUAAGUCUCGUGUGAAAGCCCUCGGCUUAACUGAGGAUCUGCACGGGAUACUGGCAGGCUUGAAUCCGGGAGAGGGAUGUGGAAUUCCAGGUGUAGCGGUGAAAUGCGUAGAUAUCUGGAGGAACACCGGUGGCGAAGGCGGCAUCCUGGACCGGUAUUGACGCUGAGGCGCGAAAGCCAGGGGAGCAAACGGG